GCUCUCGUGGUGGAACGGUAGACACACUAGACCGAGGAUCUAGUCUUUAUGGGUUCAAAUCCCAUCGGGAGUACCA
Molecule: transfer RNA, 76 nt
Filed under: Romeriopsis navalis LEGE 11480
Lineage: Bacteria; Bacillati; Cyanobacteriota; Cyanophyceae; Leptolyngbyales; Leptolyngbyaceae
Description: tRNA-Leu
Rfam family: tRNA
About the family: Transfer RNA (tRNA) molecules are approximately 80 nucleotides in length.
Source: RNAcentral